GAUGAACGCUGGCGGCGUGCCUAAUACAUGCAAGUCGAGCGAACGGACGAGAAGCUUGCUUUUCUGAUGUUAGCGGCGGACGGGUGAGUAACACGUGGAUAACCUACCUAUAAGACUGGGAUAACUUCGGGAAACCGGAGCUAAUACCGGAUAAUAUUUUGAACCGCAUGGUUCAAAAGUGAAAGACGGUCUUGCUGUCACUUAUAGAUGGAUCCGCGCUGCAUUAGCUAGUUGGUAAGGUAACGGCUUACCAAGGCAACGAUGCAUAGCCGACCUGAGAGGAUGAUCGGCCACCCUGGAACUGUGACCCGGCACAGACUCCUACGGGAGGCAGCAGUAGGGCAUCGGCCGGAAUGGGCGAAAGCCUGACCGAGCAACGCCGCGGGAGUGAUGAAGGUCGUCGGAUCGUAAAACUCUGUUAUCAGGGAAGAACACAUGUGCAAGUAACUGUGCACGUCUUGACGGUACCCAACCAGAAAGCCACGGCCAACUUCGUG
Molecule: ribosomal RNA, 497 nt
Filed under: uncultured bacterium
Lineage: Bacteria
Description: partial 16S ribosomal RNA
Rfam family: Bacterial small subunit ribosomal RNA
Source: RNAcentral